GAAGAAUUCGCUAAUAAGAACAGUUUGCCGUUGUGAAUUUUUUUUUCUGAAGUGGAGGAUCUCUAGACUGUUUUUCCUUGCCGUGGGAACGGUUCCUGUCCACUCUGCUGCCGGGAAGUACUUUCUGGUGUUGACUGGUUCAGUGCAGCAUCUCCAUUGAUGGAUUGUUAGAAAUGUUUCUGAUUCAACUGAAUGUGAAGAUUCUGCCUGUAGUGUGCAAUUCGAGAUGCACUGAACUGCAACUCCCAUUGCCUGAAUUAGAACUGGAAUUGUACUACAGUUUCGGGAAGGCUAUCCUUCAGCCUUGGGUUGAUGUUCUUUUUCUGUUAUUUAUUCAAGUGUAUGCCAUGCUAUAUAACUUCAUGGCACUUUCCUGAGUUGCAGAAUUCCAUUCCUUAUAUUUCUUUCAGCCCCCUUUACUUUCGGUCUCUACAUCUGUCUCACUGUUGCAUUAGUGUUUCCUGUUCAACUGAUCUUACCAUUUGAAGCAUCCUCUCUUUUGUGGCGCAUGCUUUCUUGGAACCUCUCUCAAACCAUUUGCAGUCAUAGAAGCAACCCAGGAUUAUUUUUCCACACAAAGAGUUUGAUACUUUUUCAGGAAUUGGCAGGUUAUGUCAUCACUCUGCUUAUCAGACUGGGUUUUGAAUUACAUGAUGUAAUUACUUAAAAAUGUGUCUUGCACGCACACGGUACUGAACAAAAUGUUCCACAGAGAUUUUCUGGAAUGCAACAUUUCUAGUCUAGUAAUCUUCUCCAAACUUGUAAUAGCCAAAUAGGAAAUUUAACUGGCAUUGGCUUGGAGAACUCAAGAUUGUACAGAUAUGUUCUUCACCGGGAGACCCGGAGAGCGUCUCAGUCUUUGGAAGACUUAUGACAAAUAGUAUGGGAAGCACUGAAGGUAUGAAAUAAUGAUGUAUUUUCCUGGAUGCACCACAAUUUAUUAGGGGGGAUUGGGGGUGAUGUGAAAUAUAAGAGAUGAACUUUUUGAUCUUCUUCAGAAACAAAACAAUAAUAAAGCAAGUCAGCUGGACAGGAAGCUCUUAAUAUACCAUUAUCCCAUGGGUUUCAUUUCCAAGUUUUCCCUGUCCUUCCCAAGAUACAGGAAUGAACACAAGAACAGUUCAUUGUGAUCAGGCCAAUUCUUGUAACAAUUCAAUAACAAUUCAAGAAUAGUUAUGAAUUGAAGGCAGACCUAUUGAUCACUGAACUGAAUCUACUUCCUCAAUAC
Ahaetulla prasina is the source of this 1228-nucleotide long non-coding RNA. RefSeq lists it as uncharacterized. Lineage: Eukaryota; Metazoa; Chordata; Lepidosauria; Squamata; Colubridae. The record is from RefSeq and is a predicted model, not a curated record. The transcript has 3 exons.